This 76-nucleotide transfer RNA is filed under the name Verrucomicrobiales bacterium. Its description in RNAcentral is "tRNA-Leu". It matches the Rfam family "tRNA". From Rfam's summary of the family: Transfer RNA (tRNA) molecules are approximately 80 nucleotides in length. Their secondary structure includes four short double-helical elements and three loops (D, anti-codon, and T loops). The record is from RNAcentral. Lineage: Bacteria; Pseudomonadati; Verrucomicrobiota; Verrucomicrobiia; Verrucomicrobiales.
GCCUGUGUAGUCCAACAGCAGAGACAGCCGCCUCAAAACCGGCGCAGUGCGAGUGCAACUCUCGCCACAGGCACCA